UGUUUUCCCCGGUACCCGUACGAUCACCAAAGUUAAGCAACGUCGAGCCUAUCAGUAUCUAGAUGGUGACCGCUUGGGAAGACCAUGUGCUGUAA
This is a non-coding RNA of Acanthosepion pharaonis, 95 nucleotides long. The record is from the annotation of a GenBank genome assembly. Lineage: Eukaryota; Metazoa; Mollusca; Cephalopoda; Sepiida; Sepiidae.